Sus scrofa (pig) is the source of this 1387-nucleotide non-coding RNA. NCBI's taxonomy places the organism in Eukaryota, Metazoa, Chordata, Mammalia, Artiodactyla, Suidae. The record is from RefSeq and is a predicted model, not a curated record.
GUCACGGUGACGUCACAGCGGAGGCACCAUGGCGGCCCUGAGCGGUCUGGCGUCGGCGCUGGAGUCGUAUAGGGGCCGCGACCGCCUGAUCCGAACGCUGGGUUACUGCUGCCAGCUGGUGGGCGGGGUCCUGGUGGAGCAGCGUGCUACCAGGUCAGAAGUGGGGACGCGCCUGCUGGUACUGUCCUCCCAACUCAGCCACUGCAGGACCAUCCUGCGACUCUUUGAUGACCUGGCCAUGUUUGUCUACACUAAGCAGUACGGCCUUGGGGCAGAGGAGGAGGACGUCUUUGUCCGCUGUGUGUCUGUUCUGGGCAACCUGGCCGACCAGCUCUACUACCCCUGUGAGCACGUUGCUUGGGCUGCUGAUGCCAAAAUCCUCCACGUGGACUCUGCCCGGUGGUGGACACUGAGCACAACCUUCUGGGGCCUCUCCCUGCUCCUAGGGAUUGCUAGGUCCCUGUGGAUGGUCCUGAAGCUGAGACGGAGGCUGAGGAGCCCCCAGGUAGCCUCCCUAAGGUAUGAUGUCCAGGGUUUUGCCCCAGUUUUAGAAAGGCCGACUUCCUGCAGGCUGGGGUCCCCCGUGGGUUUUCCAGCCAGGGAGUGUCCAGAGUCACCAGUGGUCAACCCUGCCCUGUGCAGGCCCUGUGCUGGGGUGUGAUGUGGGCAAGAUUGAGGGGCCUCAGGGCAACCUUGGGUGGAUGAUAGCACCUUUACAGAUGGGGCACCCAAGGCCAGCUGGAGGCCUCACAGACAGGAAAUGCAGAGCCACGACUCGAGGGUUGAGCCUUCGCGGCCGGAUCCCCAUCAGGGAGGAUGAGCAGAGCUGGUGGCCCCGGGGCAAGCAGAGGGCCGUGGAGGCCCAGAUCCGGUCGGAGGUGCUGACCCUGCUGAGCAACUUGGCUGACCUAGCCAACGCAGUGCACUGGCUACCCCCGGGCAUCCUGUGGUCUGGCUGCUUGCCCCCGUGGGUGGUGGGCCUCCUGGGUACCAUCUCCUCCCUCCUCAGCGUGUACCAGGCAGUCCAGGCCGGUGGCCAGGCCAACGCUGACCCCUGAUGGGACCCAGGUGCCCAUGGACUCGGCUGGAAGCCCAAUGAGGGUCCCUUCCCAAGGGCAACGAUGGCCCGGGUGGGAGCUGGGUCUUUCAUGGAGCAAAUCAAGGCCAGGUGCACCUGUGGCCCCCCAGGACCAGCGUCCUCUGGGUAGGCUUCUCUCCGGGGCAGAGCGGAAAGAUCCCACGAGUCUGUGCAGAGAAUAAGGGCACCGCAGGCUGGAGUACUGAAUCCAGUAAAGGCGAGCGGGGGAGCAGGGACAGGUGGCCUGCACCAGGGGGUGCGUGAGGAAGGUCUGAAUGAGAGUCAAUUAAAUGCUGUGGGGCUGCUGCA